GCGUCGGUAGUUCAGUGGUAGAAUGCUCUCCUGCUACGCGGGCGGCCUGGGUUCGACGCCUGGCCGAGGCA
Molecule: transfer RNA, 71 nt
Filed under: Cordylochernes scorpioides
Lineage: Eukaryota; Metazoa; Arthropoda; Arachnida; Pseudoscorpiones; Chernetidae
Description: tRNA-Ser
Rfam family: tRNA
About the family: Transfer RNA (tRNA) molecules are approximately 80 nucleotides in length. Their secondary structure includes four short double-helical elements and three loops (D, anti-codon, and T loops).
Source: RNAcentral